UGCCAUUGAGAAUCAUAUUUGUCUAUUCUCUGGUUGGAUGCGCGAAUUUUAUGGGCCGGAGUUUCUCGAAGUACUAGCUCCUCAUCUCCUUUCACGGAAAGUGUGGGUAGUUAUUUUACCUUGUGGUUCUCGAAAUCCUACGAAGCCUACUAAAUUGGAGCUUGCCAUAUAUGCUAGCUUGCAGGAUGCCCAACCUCGUCUAGUUAUUCCAUUGUGGAAAUCAUAUUUAGAGGAACAUAAGAUACAGGAAUCUGAUCCAUCUGUUGUCAUUGUCGACAACACUCCAAACCUUGUCUCAAGAGGAGGAAGGAGGCGAAGACGGAGCUGUCACACCUCCUGGGAAGCCAGAUGUCGAUUUCGAAAAUCAAAGACCG
This 374-nucleotide unclassified non-coding RNA is filed under the name Hevea brasiliensis (rubber tree). Lineage: Eukaryota; Viridiplantae; Streptophyta; Magnoliopsida; Malpighiales; Euphorbiaceae. The record is from RNAcentral.